GAUGAACGCUGGCGGCGUGCCUAAUACAUGCAAGUCGAGCGAACAGAUGAGGAGCUUGCUCCUCUGACGUUAGCGGCGGACGGGUGAGUAACACGUGGAUAACCUCCCUAUAUGACUGGGAUCACUUCGGGAAACCGGCGCUAAUACCGGAUAAUAUAUUGAACCGCAUGGUUCAAUAGUGAAAGACGGCUUUGCUGUCACUUAUAGCUGGAUCCGCGCCGCAUUAGCUAGUUGGUAAGGUAACGGCUUACCAAGGCUACGAUGCGUAGCCGACGUGAUAGGGUGAUCGGCCACACUGGAACUGAGACACGGUCCAGACUCCUACGAGAGGCAGCAGUAGGGAAUGUGCCGCAAUGGGCGAAAGCCUUACGGAGCAACGCCGCGUGAGUGAUGAAGGUCUUCGGAUCGUAAAACUCUGUUAUUAGGGAAGAACAGAUGUGUAAGUAACUAUGCACGUCUUGACGGUACCUAAUCAGAAAGCCACGGCUAACUACGUG
This 497-nucleotide ribosomal RNA is filed under the name uncultured bacterium. RNAcentral describes it as "partial 16S ribosomal RNA". It matches the Rfam family "Bacterial small subunit ribosomal RNA", at positions 28 to 507 of the family's 1533-position model. The record is from RNAcentral.